RNAcentral lists this unclassified non-coding RNA (303 nucleotides) under Hevea brasiliensis (rubber tree). Lineage: Eukaryota; Viridiplantae; Streptophyta; Magnoliopsida; Malpighiales; Euphorbiaceae. The record is from RNAcentral.
CUCUGAUAUGAUAAGAAUGCACCUUUAUAGAAACACACCGGGUAGCUGCAACUUGUUUCUUUAUAGAGUCAAUGACUGAUAAAACCUCCUUCAUGCUUGGAGAUGUUUCUUGUGGUUUUGCCACCAGUUCCGGCGAGUCUUUGGGAGGGUCCGAUCUGCUAGCGGAAGCGGACGGCGAAGCCUUCGACGCCAUUGUCUGUCGCAGGGCAGAUUCGAACCCGAAUAUCCAAUGGGGAUCCGGCUCGUGACCCGGAUCAUGCAGGAACAGACAAUGCGGUGACGAGAAUAAGAAAAGUACGGUGA